This 765-nucleotide ribosomal RNA is filed under the name uncultured Streptococcus sp. RNAcentral's name for it is "bacterial SSU rRNA". It matches the Rfam family "Bacterial small subunit ribosomal RNA", at positions 28 to 776 of the family's 1533-position model. The record is from RNAcentral. Lineage: Bacteria; Bacillati; Bacillota; Bacilli; Lactobacillales; Streptococcaceae.
GACGAACGCUGGCGGCGUGCCUAAUACAUGCAAGUAGAACGCUGAAGAGAGGAGCUUGCUCUUCUUGGAAGAGUUGCGAACGGGUGAGUAACGCGUAGGUAACCUGCCUUGUAGCGGGGGAUAACUAUUGGAAACGAUAGCUAAUACCGCAUAACAAUGGGUGACCCAUGUCAUUCAUUUGAAAGGGGCAACUGCUCCACUACAAGAUGGACCUGCGUUGUAUUAGCUAGUAGGUGAGGUAACGGCUCACCUAGGCGACGAUACAUAGCCGACCUGAGAGGGUGAUCGGCCACACUGGGACUGAGACACGGCCCAGACUCCUACGGGAGGCAGCAGUAGGGAAUCUUCGGCAAUGGGGGCAACCCUGACCGAGCAACGCCGCGUGAGUGAAGAAGGUUUUCGGAUCGUAAAGCUCUGUUGUAAGUCAAGAACGAGUGUGAGAGUGGAAAGUUCACACUGUGACGGUAGCUUACCAGAAAGGGACGGCUAACUACGUGCCAGCAGCCGCGGUAAUACGUAGGUCCCGAGCGUUGUCCGGAUUUAUUGGGCGUAAAGCGAGCGCAGGCGGUUUGAUAAGUCUGAAGUUAAAGGCUGUGGCUCAACCAUAGUUCGCUUUGGAAACUGUCAAACUUGAGCGCAGAAGGGGAGAGUGGAAUUCCAUGUGUAGCGGUGAAAUGCGUAGAUAUAUGGAGGAACACCGGUGGCGAAAGCGGCUCUCUGGUCUGUAACUGACGCUGAGGCUCGAAAGCGUGGGGAGCGAACAGG